GCACUGUUGUACCAUCCUGACAAGAUGUUGCAUUACUUCCACUGUACCCCUCCACUACGUGGUGGCAACGCUCCACACGUAGGCACGCAGCAAACACUUAACGAGCAUAAGUAAAUUUUGUGUUUUUACACUUGCAAUAUUUGCUUUGUUUUGUGUAUGCAGCUCAGCGUUUUAAGGAAGUAAUUGUUUUGAAUCCUCGUAAACUUCAAUUUCAAGAAAAUAAAAAUGUAUAAGAAAUGCAUUGUAAUUCUCAGACAACGACGGUAUUUGUUAACGCGCAUCGGAUCCGGGGACGAGUGGGUUUCAUUGCUUGUUUCCUCAAAAGUAGUUCAGUCAUCUAUAGGCGAUGGAAAGUUUUCAGAUUCCGCCAUUAUCAACUUUACUUUUUAACUCUUAGCGGGUUAUAUUUUCUCAAAUAGUCUCCAAAGCAAUUACCCUUCACUCAUCGUUAAUCAAGUCAUACUGAGUAUACUAUUCUGAGGAGGCCUCGGGUAACCUUGUCCCUGGGAGUCUACCCCAACGGCCGGCGGCUACACUGCAGUGUGGCGCACGGCUGCCUGAGGUGACGGAGCUCACACAUGAGGAGUUCGGCGGUAGUGGCGCGUGCCCUGUCUUAAGUGUAACCAUCUCGUACCCUUUGAGGCUCCUAAAUACUCUACCGAACGCAUGUGACCGGUUGUUGUGUCGCGUGUAACCUAGAUUGACGCAGCGACGGAGGGGCAGCCUGAGAGACCGAACACCGAUUCCUUGGCAAGCCUUGUGCCUCAGUACGGGCGGGACCAUCCCGUCUGCAUCAGCACUUUGGCACAUUUCAAUCUGCCAGUUCCGGUCGGUACAGACGCGGCCUUGGAAGGAGACAAAGGGUACAUCCCAGCACGACUGACUUCGCCGAGCAGGUUAAUGGAUUAAGAGCGGGCCAGACGAGGGUCUUCACGGGUUGUGUGUGGAAGGGAAAGACAAUAUCUUAGCCGGGUGGCUGCCUGUUUGUUCUACAGCAGCAGGCGUGGAGGGAUUACCCUUCAAACCAGUGUUAAACGAUGAAGCAGAGUACUCUUGGGUCCAAAGAUAGUACUCUGGAGACUAUCUGUGUGCCCAGAGCCACUUGGGGAGAUGAGUCAUGAGGUCAGUGUUAUGCCCGUGAGGGAAAGUAGAGGAAACAUUCUCUGGCUGCCAUUACGUCCUGCUUAAAGGUGUG
Molecule: long non-coding RNA, 1195 nt
Organism: Eriocheir sinensis (Chinese mitten crab)
Lineage: Eukaryota; Metazoa; Arthropoda; Malacostraca; Decapoda; Varunidae
Exons: 3
Source: RefSeq, a predicted model, not a curated record